RNAcentral lists this ribosomal RNA (253 nucleotides) under uncultured bacterium. RNAcentral's name for it is "partial 16S ribosomal RNA". It matches the Rfam family "Bacterial small subunit ribosomal RNA", at positions 524 to 776 of the family's 1533-position model. The record is from RNAcentral.
UACAGAGGUCCCAAGCGUUGUUCGGAUUCACUGGGCGUAAAGGGUGCGUAGGUGGUCAGGUAAGUCCGAUGUGAAAUCUCCAGGCUCAACCUGGAAAUGGCAUUGGAUACUAUCUGGCUUGAGGAGUGGAGGGGGGACUGGAAUUCUCGGUGUAGCAGUGAAAUGCGUAGAUAUCGAGAGGAACACCAGUGGCGAAGGCGAGUCCCUGGACACUUCCUGACACUGAGGCACGAAAGCUAGGGGAGCAAACAGG